Caenorhabditis elegans is the source of this 59-nucleotide non-coding RNA. NCBI's taxonomy places the organism in Eukaryota, Metazoa, Nematoda, Chromadorea, Rhabditida, Rhabditidae. The record is from Ensembl.
ACAUGGCCAAUUUGCUAUGAUUUAUUUGUCAAACCUAUUCAACCACUUGUCGAAUCAAG